AAUCUUAUGUCACAAUCCCGCCCAAGCUCCCCUUUCCCCCCUCCCCUCUCCUCCCCUUAGCGAGGUAGGAUUUGGGCCGCAGACCCGGGUGGUCCCAGGACUCCUGGGGCCUGUUGUGGUGGGGUGGGGUGGGGGCACGGCAGAGCUUCCCAAGGAAGUCACGGGACCCCGCCUCAGGAUAUUCAGAAGCUCUAGUCCAGUUCUGGCAGCCUGAACUCUUCCUCCUCCAAGGUGAAAUCCAAGAAUACACUUCCUUCCAAGGACAGCAACUGACCUGCAAAAUGGGCGCCAGUUAGGGUGGCAGGGAGGACGCACAUUACAGUCAUUUAUUCCAAAAUUUGCCAUUUUCGCCAAACUUUCGAUGAUGACCUGGCAUGGUGGGUGGCUCAUGCCUAUAACCCCAGCAUCUUGAGAUCCUGAGGCAAGAGGAUCACUUGAGGCCAGGAGCUUGAGACCAGGCAGGACAACACAGCGAGAUCCCCCAUCUCUAGAAAAAAUAAUUAGCCACAUGUGGUGGUGCAUGCCUAUAGUCCUGGCUACUCAGGAGGCUGAGGUAAGAGAAUCCCUUGAGCCCAGGAG
Molecule: long non-coding RNA, 579 nt
Filed under: Homo sapiens (human)
Lineage: Eukaryota; Metazoa; Chordata; Mammalia; Primates; Hominidae
Description: non-protein coding lnc-AMZ2-10:1
Source: RNAcentral